GCGCUUUGAAGUUUAUGAGACGUCAUGUAAACACACAAAUAGAACUAUUUUGGAAUUUUUAUCGAUCAUCUAGCCUGUUUUUAAGAAACCAUGUCACAGAAAAAGCAGCCUAAAGGUAUGUUGUUAAAUUGUCCUAAUCGGAGAAAUAUUGAUCAAAUCAUACGCACUACGAAAUUAGAUAUAAGAAGCAAACACAAUGUCGCGAUCUGUUAUGAUAAUAUGAUACAUAAAAAACAUGACUUCCGAUUUGUAUAGCUUGGCAGGCCCUUGGCAAGUUUAGAAAAAAAAGCUAGUGUCUAGCUGUUUUCUGAUUUUUAUAGUUAUUGGAUAUGUUGCCACUAGGUUUGGUGGCAUUACUAUCGAAGUUUAUAAGUGUUAACUUAUUUUAAUAAUCAUUCCCUUGAGGCCUUGACCCCUUGGGAAUUUUGGUUUACUAGUGCUUGGUACUUCAGUUGAAGCAUAUGUUGUUGUGUUCUUAUGUGUCGUCAGUUUUGUUUACAAUUUUAUAUCACGAGCUGGAUCAAUGUACACAUGCGUAGAACAGCCUGCACCACAUCUUUAAAUGUUAUGAUUUGAUCGACUGACCAAUUUUUGCUUAAUUUCUAAGGACAUCACCAACUAAAAAUGUUCAUGACAUCAUUAACCCAUUAAGUUGAAUUGUACACCAAUGUGCCCUACUUUAUUAUUAAAACUAACACCACACAAUUUUAUACAUCAAGGAGAGAACACUGGUACUCAAUGGGUAAAUCAGACUAUGUGCCCAUGUGUCUAGUAACUCUAGUUAAAUUAAUCCAUUAAGUUGAAUUGUAUCCCAAUGUGCCCUACUUUAUUAUGUCAGAUAUUUUACUCAAGGGGAAAGCAUUGGUGCUCAAUGGGUUACAGGUAAUUGGUACCUGUUCAAACAGUCCAACUUGUCAGGAGCAGAUGUAUGAUAAUGCUGGACAAUUCAACAAUACCUGAAAUUGUUCUGACAAAUCAAAUUGUAUAAACAUAAAUUAAGAAUUGUUUCAUGAUAUGUUGAGUACGCUGGAAGUUGGGAGAGCAUGAAAAACAUGAGUUGGUCAAGGUGCUAGCUGAGACCAACUCAGUGCUUGAGUCUCCCAACUGGGUGUCUGUCUGGGUGUUUUGCAUUAUGUUCACUAAUUGGAAUUACCACAGGAUGUAAUGUCUGUAAUGAUGUCCAUUCCAAUUAGCAAAGUCCAAUUAAUAAACGUAAUAAACAGAAAAUUAGACAGAAAUUGUGCAGCACCCGCAUAUUUUGUUUCCAUACAAUCUGAUAUUGAUCACUGGACUAAAGUGUAUUGUUUUAAUUAAAAACAAACAAGUAAAAUGUAUUUGUUUAUUUUUCAAAGAUUCAUAUAAUCAAAGCCACAAGAAUUUAAGCACUCAUGCCAGUGAAGAGCAAUGCUCAGUUUCAUGGACACUUUAAACAACAUGAAAUACUGUAGCACAAUGUGUACCCACUUAUUGAUAUAGUUUCAGGUUAAUUUGAGGCAGCACUUUCCUUUCGAUAAUACCUCCUAGUUAGGCCUAAAAAAAUACUUGUGGUUCCAAAUUUCCUAAAUUUGUCCAUAGAAAAUAUGCAUCUCUAGUUAGUAUUGAUGUCAGAAUUCUACUGCAAAUCGCCCCACAAAAAACUGCCAAAAUCAUGAAAAAAAUAUUCAAAAAAAAUUUAUUUCCAACCUACCGACCCUAAUUUUUUCACGAUAUGAAACUGGAACCACAGGUACUUUUUAGGCCUUACCAAACAUAUAUUUUAAGGGAAUAAUUAUCUUUUAAUCAUAAUGUUUGUAAAUAUAUACCAUAGGUUAUCCUAUGCAAGGUAGAGGACAGCCAGCAUACCCAACUCAACCGGCAUACCCAACUCAAUCAGCAUACCCAGCUCAAGCAGGAUACCCAACUCAACCAGCAUACCUAACUCAACUAGGUCCUGGUGGCUAUCCAACACAAUCCUACCAACAAGUUGCAUAUAACCCUCAAUACCCUCAACAUCCACAACUAUAUCCUAAUAUGAACCCACAAGUACCUUAUGCUCAACCUGGGUAUGGACAACCACCACCACCUUAUCCAGGAGCCACAUCUAACCCUGUCCCUCAGGUAACUGGU
Molecule: long non-coding RNA, 2106 nt
Filed under: Paramuricea clavata
Lineage: Eukaryota; Metazoa; Cnidaria; Anthozoa; Malacalcyonacea; Plexauridae
Source: RNAcentral